Molecule: ribosomal RNA, 320 nt
Filed under: uncultured eukaryote
Lineage: Eukaryota
Description: partial 18S ribosomal RNA
Rfam family: Eukaryotic small subunit ribosomal RNA
Source: RNAcentral
CCCCUAGAUGUUCUGGGCCGCACGCGCGCUACACUGAACAGUUCAACAAGUCUUAACCUUGGCCGAUAGGUCUGGGUAAUCUUUGAACGCUGUUCGUGAUUGGGAUAGACCUUUGCAAUUAUGGGUCUUCAACGAGGAAUUCCUAGUAAACGCAAGUCAUCAGCUUGCAUUGAUUACGUCCCUGCCCUUUGUACACACCGCCCGUCGCACCUACCGAUUGAAUGGUCCGGUGAAAUCUCGGGACGGCGGCUCAGUCGCUUGCGUCCGACUGCUGAAACUUGAUUAAACCAUAUCAUUUAGAGGAAGGUGAAGUCGUAACA